This 465-nucleotide ribosomal RNA is filed under the name bacterium 1611-S2-01-2.2. RNAcentral describes it as "bacterial SSU rRNA". It matches the Rfam family "Bacterial small subunit ribosomal RNA", at positions 59 to 512 of the family's 1533-position model. The record is from RNAcentral.
CAGUCGAGCGGUAACAUUUCAAAUCUUGCUUUUGAAGAUGACGAGCGGCGGACGGGUGAGUAAUGCCUGGGAAUUUGCCCAUUUGUGGGGGAUAACAGUUGGAAACGACUGCUAAUACCGCAUACGCCCUACGGGGGAAAGCAGGGGACCUUCGGGCCUUGCGCUGAUGGAUAAGCCCAGGUGGGAUUAGCUAGUAGGUGAGGUAAAGGCUCACCUAGGCGACGAUCCCUAGCUGGUCUGAGAGGAUGAUCAGCCACACUGGGACUGAGACACGGCCCACACUCCUACGGGAGGCAGCAGUGGGGAAUAUUGCACAAUGGGGGAAACCCUGAUGCAGCCAUGCCGCGUGUGUGAAGAAGGCCUUCGGGUUGUAAAGCACUUUCAGCGAGGAGGAAAGGGUGUAAGUUAAUACCUUACAUCUGUGACGUUACUCGCAGAAGAAGCACCGGCUAACUCCGUGCCAGC